AUCAGAAAUGUCUCGGCCAUCCGAGCGACAGUGGUAGAAUCUAAGGAGUCAGCAUUACACAAGACUUCACUGACGAGGGACAAAGGACCAUUGAGAGAGCCAUGGACAACCUGAUGCAGAUCCUGCUCACCUUGUUGCUAGGAUACGUACUGUGGGUUAUCGUUACAGCCCUGUGGAGAUACAACACUCUCUGUCGGACAGUUAAAGACUUCGCCCAAGUUGCCCCCGCUCAUUGGUUUUGGGGACAUAUGAAACUG
Pecten maximus is the source of this 257-nucleotide long non-coding RNA. RefSeq lists it as uncharacterized. NCBI's taxonomy places the organism in Eukaryota, Metazoa, Mollusca, Bivalvia, Pectinida, Pectinidae. The record is from RefSeq and is a predicted model, not a curated record. The transcript is spliced from 3 exons.